CUUUGAAACUGCGAAUGGCUCAUUAUAUCAGUUAUAGUUUAUUAGAAAUAAUUUACUACUUGGAUAACCGUAGUAAUUCUAGGGCUAAUACAUGAGUAAAUCCUCGACUUUGAAGAGGUGUGUUUAUUAGUAUGAAAACCAUAUGCUUUUGCAUAAUAGUGAGUAAUAAUAACCUUUCAUAUCGUAUGUUGUAAUAACGAUAGUUCUUUCAAGUUUCUGCCCUAUCAGCUUUCGAUGGUAGUGCAUUGGACUACCAUGGCAGUAACGGGUAACGAAGAAUUUGGGUUCGAUUUCGGAGAGGGAGCCUGAGAGAUGGCUACCACAUCCAAGGAAGGCAGCAGGCGCGUAAAUUACCCAAUCCUGACAUAGGGAGGUAGUGACAAUAAAUCACAAUGCGGGACUUUUAGUUUUGCAAUUGGAUUGAGAACAAUGUAAAAGAGUUAUCGAUAAACAAUUGGAGGGCAAGUCUGGUGCCAGCAGCCGCGGUAAUUCCAGCUCCAAUAGCGUAUAUUAACGUUGUUGCAGUUAAAAA
This 532-nucleotide ribosomal RNA is filed under the name Blastocystis sp. subtype 14. RNAcentral describes it as "partial small subunit ribosomal RNA". It matches the Rfam family "Eukaryotic small subunit ribosomal RNA", at positions 79 to 625 of the family's 1831-position model. The record is from RNAcentral. Lineage: Eukaryota; Bigyra; Opalinata; Blastocystidae.